GACGAACGCUGGCGGCGUGCUUAACACAUGCAAGUCGAACGGAAAGGCCCUGCUUUUGUGGGGUGCUCGAGUGGCGAACGGGUGAGUAACACGUGAGUAACCUGCCCUUGACUUUGGGAUAACUUCAGGAAACUGGGGCUAAUACCGGAUAGGAGCUCCUGUUGCAUGGUGGGGGUUGGAAAGUUUCGGCGGUUGGGGAUGGACUCGCGGCUUAUCAGCUUGUUGGUGGGGUAGUGGCUUACCAAGGCCUUGACGGGUAGCCGGCCUGAGAGGGUGACCGGCCACAUUGGGACUGAGAUACGGCCCAGACUCCUACGGGAGGCAGCAGUGGGGAAUAUUGCACAAUGGGCGGAAGCCUGAUGCAGCAACGCCGCGUGCGGGAUGACGGCCUUCGGGUUGUAAACCGCUUUCGCCUGUGACGAAGCGUGAGUGACGGUAAUGGGUAAAGAAGCACCGGCUAACUACGUG
RNAcentral lists this ribosomal RNA (468 nucleotides) under uncultured bacterium. RNAcentral describes it as "partial 16S ribosomal RNA". It matches the Rfam family "Bacterial small subunit ribosomal RNA", at positions 28 to 507 of the family's 1533-position model. The record is from RNAcentral.